ACCCAAAAAUUAGCCCAAGACACCUAGCUAUGCCACACCCACACGGGAAUUCAGCAGUGAUUAACAUUGAAAAUAAGCGACAGCUUGAAUCAGUUAANGUAAAAAGAGCCGGCAAAUCUGGUGCCAGCCGCCGCGGUUACACCACGUGACUCAAACUGACCUCUUCCGGCGUAAAGCGUGAUUAAAGCCCNUCUUACCACUGCAAUUAAACCAGAACUGAGCUGUGACACGCCUAUUCCUGAGAACCCCAAAACCGAAAGUCAUUGCAANCCCCUAAACUUGAACUCACGACAGCUAGAAAACAAACUGGGAUUAGAUACCCCACUAUGCCUAGCCGUAAANCCUUUAUUUACCUCCACACCGCCAGGGAACUACGAGCAAAGCUUAAAACCCAAAGGACUUGACGGUACCCCAUAUCCACCUAGAGGAGCCUGUCCUAUAAUCGAUAAUCCCCGCUUAACCUCACCAUUUUUAGCAUAUCAGCCUGUAUACCUCCGUCGUCAGCUUACCACGUGAGCGCCAAUUAGUGAGCUAAAUGCCCCUACGCCAACACGUCAGGUCAAGGUGCAGCAUAUAAAAUGGGAAGAGAUNGGCUACACUGUCUNAACUAGACUACACGGAAGACUAUAUAUGNAACCUAGUCGGAAGNCGGANUUAGAAGUAAAAAANGANCAAAGCGCUUUUUUNAACUU
RNAcentral lists this ribosomal RNA (692 nucleotides) under Dendropsophus parviceps (Sarayacu treefrog). RNAcentral's name for it is "partial 12S ribosomal RNA". It matches the Rfam family "Bacterial small subunit ribosomal RNA", at positions 329 to 1369 of the family's 1533-position model. Lineage: Eukaryota; Metazoa; Chordata; Amphibia; Anura; Hylidae. The record is from RNAcentral.